RNAcentral lists this ribosomal RNA (468 nucleotides) under uncultured bacterium. RNAcentral's name for it is "partial 16S ribosomal RNA". It matches the Rfam family "Bacterial small subunit ribosomal RNA", at positions 28 to 507 of the family's 1533-position model. The record is from RNAcentral.
GACGAACGCUGGCGGCGUGCCUAACACAUGCAAGUCGAACGGAAAGGCCCUGCUUUUGUGGGGUGCUCGAGUGGCGAACGGGUGAGUAACACGUGAGUAACCUGCCCUUGACUUUGGGAUAACUUCAGGAAAAUGGGGCUAAUAUCGGAUAGGAGCUCCUGCUCCAUGUUGGGGGUUGGAAAGUUUCGGCGGUUGGGGAUGGAAUCGCGGGUUAUCAGCCUGUUGGUGGGGUAGGGGUUUACCAAGGCUUUGACGGGUAGCCGGCCUGAGAGGGUGACCGGGCACAUUGGGACUAAGAGACGGACCAGAAUGGUACGGGAGGCAGAAGUGGGGAAUAUUGCAGAAUGAGCGGAAGCCUGAUGCGGCAACGCCGCGUGCGGGAUGCCGGCCUUCGGGGUGUAAACCGCUUUCGCCUGUGACGAAGCGGGAGUGACGGUAAUGGGUAAGGAAGCACCGGCUAACUACGUG